GCAAGUCGAACGAGAAAGUCCGAAGCUUGCUUUGGACGAGUAGAGUGGCGCACGGGUGAGUAACGCGUGGGUAAUCUGCCUCUGAAUUUGGGAUAACACCUCGAAAGGGGUGCUAAUACCGGAUAACAUUCUAUUGAUUGCGGUUAAUGGAAUCAAAGAUAGCCUCUUCAUGAAAGCUAUUGUUUGGAGAUGAGCCUGCGUACCAUUAGCUUGUUGGUGGGGUAAUGGCCUACCAAGGCGACGAUGGUUAGCUGGUCUGAGAGGAUGAUC
RNAcentral lists this ribosomal RNA (270 nucleotides) under uncultured bacterium. RNAcentral describes it as "partial 16S ribosomal RNA". It matches the Rfam family "Bacterial small subunit ribosomal RNA", at positions 57 to 305 of the family's 1533-position model. The record is from RNAcentral.